This 1220-nucleotide long non-coding RNA is filed under the name Gossypium barbadense (sea-island cotton). Its description in RNAcentral is "long non-coding RNA (GBAR_LNC012762)". The record is from RNAcentral. Lineage: Eukaryota; Viridiplantae; Streptophyta; Magnoliopsida; Malvales; Malvaceae.
CAAACCCUAGCCCCCCUUUGCUUCUCUCCUUGGCCGACCCUAAAUCCCUCCCCUUGAUCGCCGAUCCGCCACCAUAAACGGCGACCAGUGUGUUCGAGCCUUGAGGGUUGUUUUUUCAGCCUUGAGAUCCACUUUCAACCUCGAUUUCAACGAAGCAAAAGGAAACCCAUGGCAUAUUUGUAAGGUAAGGCUUCUUUUUUUUUUUCAAAUGCAAUAAUGAAAGACCAAAGGAAAUAAAUCGAAAGAAAAAUCAAAAACUUAGGGAAACUUGAAUCAGAAAUCACUUUUAAAAAUUUUGAUUGCUUUCUUUGUAUUCAAUAUGUGUUCGUAAGGAAAAUACAAGUCUCUGAUAUGGCUUUAUAUAGCCGAAUAAAAAUAGAAUUACAAAAGCUAUUUUUCCUUUUGUUUGUUAUUUCUCUGUUGUUGCUGUGCUGUUAUUUUUCUUCUCACAUGUUCGACUGAUGUGGAGAUGGCCGUAUGGAGGAGAAGACCGUGACUUGGAGACCGAUUCCAUGGCAUGCGAGGCUGCGACGCAUCCUAGGGUUUCAAUUCCUGAAACCACAAUCUGGAUCAUUUGGGCUUAUUUUAGGAUUGGGCCGGUUUUAAGAUUGGGCCAUUGGGCCUUGUGGAUUAGGUUACUGGGUUAUUAGGCCAUUCGGGUUAGGUUUAUUGGGUUAUUUUAAUUUGAUAUUUAGUUGGGCUUAUUGUAAUUGAUGGACAUUGGACUAAUAAAUUUGGACUUUUAUUGGUUUUGUUUUAAUUUAUUUUUGGUUUAUUUAUUUUUUUGAUAAUUUAUGGGCCCGGGCAAAAUGGGCCUUUUACAACAGGUAUGCUAUGCCAUAACACAGGACUUCCCCAUGGCCAUUUAACAAGGUAUGUAUUUUAGCUAUAAAAUCUUAAUUCAAAAUAUUUUUUUGAAUCAAAAUAAAUUAGUAUCUUGAAUCUAAGUUUGAGUUCUGCUGUGCAGGAUCCAAUAUAUGGCAAGCACAGAGCAUCCUUUCAAAUUUUAUUUUUAAAAUUCAUGAUUCUCUUUAUCUUUGCUUAGACCCAGAAAAGAAAUAAAAGGCUUUAGAAAGCCAUAGUAUAAAACACACUGAAAAUUUUAUUAGAUGGAACCUUGAUGCCUUACAAUGUGAAAUAUAUCUCCUUUUAUAGAUAGAGGAGAUAGAAACCGACAAACAUAGCUGUAGUACAAACUAAUAAUACAUUACAGUACACAC